Molecule: ribosomal RNA, 406 nt
Filed under: uncultured bacterium
Lineage: Bacteria
Description: partial 16S ribosomal RNA
Rfam family: Bacterial small subunit ribosomal RNA
Source: RNAcentral
AUUGAACGCUGGCGGCAGGCCUAACACAUGCAAGUCGAACGAGUGGCGGACGGGUGAGUAAUGUCUGGGAAACUGCCUGAUGGAGGGGGAUAACUACUGGAAACGGUAGCUAAUACCGCAUACCAUCAGAUGUGCCCAGAUGGGAUUAGCUUGUUGGUGGGGUAACGGCUAACCAAGGCGACGAUCCCUAGCGGGUCUGAGAGGAUGACCAGCCACACUGGAACUGAGACACGGUCCAGACUCCUACGGGAGGCAGCAGUUGGGAAUAUUGGACAAUGGGCGCUAGCCUGAUGCAGCCAUGCCGCGUGUGUGAAGAAGUUCUUCGGAUUGUAAAGCACUUUAAGUUGGGAGGCGUUACCAACAGAAUAAACACCGGCUAACUUCGUGCCAGCCGCCGCGGUAAUUC